Molecule: transfer RNA, 85 nt
Filed under: Felis catus (domestic cat)
Lineage: Eukaryota; Metazoa; Chordata; Mammalia; Carnivora; Felidae
Rfam family: tRNA
About the family: Transfer RNA (tRNA) molecules are approximately 80 nucleotides in length. Their secondary structure includes four short double-helical elements and three loops (D, anti-codon, and T loops).
Source: Rfam by way of RNAcentral
GCCUGGGUGGCUCAGUUGGUUGAGCAUCCGACUUCAGCUCGGGUCAUGAUCUCACGGUUUGUGGGUUCGAGCCCCACGUUGGGCU